UCAGUCAGAAGAGGUGGUGGUGUCGGACAGUGCUAUGGACCCCUUCCGAGGCCAGUCUGUCUGCACGGUCACCGCUUCGCCUGACGCAUUUCCUCCUGCACGAAGGACGCCGCAGCCGGUUGGGUAGCUGCGAGAGUCGGUCAUGAGGGCGGACGCCGGCAGUUGACCGGUGGCGUGGCUUCGGCCGUGCCGCCGGUUGUUAGCCUGUCCGCCCGUGACGCGACACCCGACCGAGGUUUAAAUUCCUUUAUGGGAAUCGGCCGCCCUCCUCAGAAAUGGAAGCGAGCAUGCUGACAGGCGUUGCGUUGCCGCUGACUCGUCACUCUCCGUAGUGGCCGUCACGUCAAAGUCGCCGUUGGUACGUAUACGUCUCGCCGAGGCAAGUAGGUGGCUAGCGGCGAGUAGGUCGGUCACCCACCCGACCCGUCUUGAAACACGGACCAAGGAGUCUAACAUGUGCGCGAGUCAUUGGGUCUUGAUUAGGCCCAAAGGCGCAAUGAAAGUGAAGGUCGGCGCAUGCCGACCGUGUUGGGAUUCUCCGCCUCGGCGGAGACGCACCAUCGACCCGUUCUAUCCGAUUUAUCGGUUGGGCGGAGUCUGAGCGUACACGUUGGGACCCGAAAGAUGGUGAACUAUGCCUGGGCAGGACGAAGCCAGAGGAAACUCUGGUGGAGGUCCGUAGCGGUUCUGACGUGCAAAUCGAUCGUCAGACCUGGGUAUAGG
Molecule: ribosomal RNA, 723 nt
Filed under: Caponia sp. 1 NCP-2017
Lineage: Eukaryota; Metazoa; Arthropoda; Arachnida; Araneae; Caponiidae
Description: eukaryotic LSU rRNA
Rfam family: Eukaryotic large subunit ribosomal RNA
Source: RNAcentral